AGAUUUCCUCAAACAGUCAGGAAAAUCUCAUCUACUUAUCAUGCCCCCGCAAGAUGGUACUUCGAUCAAGGAGGCCAAUCUUGGACAGAUGUAACGCAAAAAGUUUACGAGCUAGAGGCUUCGUAAAUGAGUCGGCCAAUUGAUCAGCCGUAUGAACAUGAGAAACACGAAGUUGACGGCAGACAACUUGAUCGCGUACAAAGUGGAAGUCGAUGACAAUAUGUUUCAUGCGGGAGUGGAAUACCGGAUUAGCGCACAGAAAGGUAGCUCCAAUAUUAUCACAAUAUAUUAUAGGGGUGGAAUCGAUGUUGAGUUCCUGGAGUAGAUUCGUGAUCCAAUUGAGUUCUGCAGUGGUAGCGGCAAUGGCACGGUAUUCAGCUUCAGUUGUAGACCGGGCGACUGUCUUUUACUUCUUAGAACUCCAACUGAUUGGAUAAGCACCAAGAAAGAUAAUAUACCCCGAUGUGGAUGUUCUAUCAUCAAGGUUACCUGCCCAAUCAACAUCGACAAAGGCAUGAAGACGAAGUGGAGAGUGUUUACGAAAAAAGAGACCAUGAUUUAGGGUCCCUUUAAGAUAUCGUAGAAGUCUCUUGAUCGCUGACCAGUGUAGAGUAGAUGGUUGCUGCAUAAACUGUGAUAAUUUAUUGACAGCAAAUGAGAUGUCUGGACGCGUGAGAGCUAAGUAUUGUAAAGAGCCAACAACUUGGCGGUAUUGAGUGGGUUCCGUAGCAGGACUUCCAUCCGAUAAUUUGAGAGAACCACUAGUAGAGAUGGGGGUUGUAACUGCAUUUGCAUCCUGCAUGUUUGUCUUUAAUAACAAAUCUUGAAUGUACUUGCAUUGUGAUAAAAGGAAACCGGAAGACGUGAAGGUAGCUUCGACGCCUAGAAAGUAGCUCAAGGGUCCGAGAUCCUUAAGCGAGAAUCGAGCUGCCAGCUGUUUGAUGAACGCUUGGAUGCUGAUGGGAUUGUUGCCUGUGAUAAUAAUAUCAUCCACAUAUACCAGAAUAUACAUUGUGUUUCCA
Molecule: long non-coding RNA, 1022 nt
Filed under: Musa acuminata (dwarf banana)
Lineage: Eukaryota; Viridiplantae; Streptophyta; Magnoliopsida; Zingiberales; Musaceae
Description: long non-coding RNA (MACU_LNC004694)
Source: RNAcentral